This 424-nucleotide ribosomal RNA is filed under the name uncultured bacterium. Its description in RNAcentral is "bacterial SSU rRNA". It matches the Rfam family "Bacterial small subunit ribosomal RNA", at positions 355 to 796 of the family's 1533-position model. The record is from RNAcentral.
UGGGGAAUAUUGGACAAUGGGCGCAAGCCUGAUCCAGCCAUGCCGCGUGAGUGAUGAAGGCCUUAGGGUUGUAAAGCUCUUUUGUCCGGGAAGAUAAUGACUGUACCGGAAGAAUAAGCUCCGGCUAACUUCGUGCCAGCAGCCGCGGUAAUACGAAGGGAGCUAGCGUUGUUCGGAAUUACUGGGCGUAAAGCGCAUGCAGGCGGAUCGUUAAGUCGGGGGUGAAAUCCCGAGGCUCAACCUCGGAACUGCCUUCGAUACUGGCGAUCUUGAGUCCGGGAGAGGUGAGUGGAACUCCGAGUGUAGAGGUGAAAUUCGUAGAUAUUCGGAAGAACACCAGUGGCGAAGGCGGCUCACUGGCCCGGUACUGACGCUGAGAUGCGAAAGCGUGGGGAGCAAACAGGAUUAGAUACCCCCGUAGUCC